ACUGCAGUAAAGUGGAACAAAUAAAACUAAUGGGGGCAAGUGCUGAGUUGGUAAGGUUGUGCUCUGAUUAAUUGCAAUUGUCAUUUGUUUCAUUGCUUUAGGAUUUCACAGAAAAGUUAUGCAGAUGCUUGUGGAGAUCCGAGACAUGUUGAAGGAGCUGAAGGUCAUUCAAGCAUAGCCGCAGGACACAGCUCUUCCUGACAAGGCUACAACAGUUGAAGAACUUAAAAGUCUUGACGAGUCGCUGAACUCGGUGGAGGAAAGACAAAAACUGAUUCAACGCUUGGCAAUGGUAGACAGAGGAACGAGUAUGGAAACCAAUGUCAAAUAGGUCAUGGACAAGUUGAUGACGCAAGAAGUCCAGGCGGAGUUCAACUUAUGUGGAAGGGGACCUACAAAGAAGCUAGCUUUAUAUAAUGCUGUUUUAUAUGCACAGUUUAUAGUCAUUAUUUGCACUGUUUAAAGAAUUCUAAAGAGUAAAUUUGUGACCUACAUUUUUGUGUGCUCAAGCUUUUUUUUUUUCCUUGACUUAAAGGUAUAAUAGACGAUGUUUUAA
Molecule: long non-coding RNA, 556 nt
Organism: Salarias fasciatus (jewelled blenny)
Lineage: Eukaryota; Metazoa; Chordata; Actinopteri; Blenniiformes; Blenniidae
Exons: 3
Source: RefSeq, a predicted model, not a curated record